GCCUACGGGGCCCAGCAGUAGGGAAUCUUCCACAAUGGGCGAAAGCCUGAUGGAGCAACGCCGCGUGGGUGAAGAAGGUCUUCGGAUCGUAAAACCCUGUUGUUAGAGAAGAAAGUGCGUGAGAGUAACUGUUCACGUUUCGACGGUAUCUAACCAGAAAGCCACGGCUAACUACGUGCCAGCAGCCGCGGUAAUACGUAGGUGGCAAGCGUUAUCCGGAUUUAUUGGGCGUAAAGGGAACGCAGGCGGUCUUUUAAGUCUGAUGUGAAAGCCUUCGGCUUAACCGGAGUAGUGCAGUGGAAACU
Molecule: ribosomal RNA, 305 nt
Filed under: uncultured bacterium
Lineage: Bacteria
Description: bacterial SSU rRNA
Rfam family: Bacterial small subunit ribosomal RNA
Source: RNAcentral